This 497-nucleotide ribosomal RNA is filed under the name uncultured bacterium. RNAcentral describes it as "partial 16S ribosomal RNA". It matches the Rfam family "Bacterial small subunit ribosomal RNA", at positions 28 to 507 of the family's 1533-position model. The record is from RNAcentral.
GAUGAACGCUGGCGGCGUGCCUAAUUCAUGCAAGUCGAGCGAACAGAUGAGGAGCUUGCUCCUCUGACGUUAGCGGCGGACGGGUGAGUAACACGUGGAUAACCUACCUAUAAGACUGGGAUAACUUCGGGAAACCGGAGCUAAUACCGGAUAAUAUAUUGAACCGCAUGGUUCAAUAGUGAAAGACGGUUUUGCUGUCACUUAUAGAUGGAUCCGCGCCGCAUUAGCUAGUUGGUAAGGUAACGGCUUACCAAGGCAACGAUGCGUAGCCGACCUGAGAGGGUGAUCGGCCACACUGGAGCUGAGACUCGGUCCAGACUCCUACGGGAGGCAGCAGUAGGGAAUCUUCCGCAAUGGGCGAAAGCCUGACGGAGCAACGCCGCGUGAGUGAUGAAGGUCUUCGGAUCGUAAAACUCUGUUAUUAGGGAAGAACAAAUGUGUAAGUAACUAUGCACGUCUUGACGGUACCUAAUCAGAAAGCCACGGCUAACUACGUG